CCCCUCGUCCCCGCGGCUUUUUAUCUGCAGGCGUGCGGGCCUGGUUUUUCUUUCUCGCUGCAGAGGUUCCUGGGACGCCAUGGAGGUGCGGGCGGCGGGUCACGGCGCGUGCUGCGGGCUCCCGGGAAGCCUCGGGGGCCCCGGGCCCGCCUGUGCCCUUCGGGAGCUCUAGUCCUAAAGAAAUGAAGAGAUCUUACCUAGGAUCUGAACCAGAAAUGCUGAAUACUAUCAAACCUAUUCAGGAAGUGAAGAGAUCUUGCCAAGGGGAGAUCUGAACCAAAAAUGCUGAAUACUGUUAAACCUGUUCAGGAAAUGAAGAGAUCUUGCCCAGGGGGUCUGAACCACAAUUUCUGAAUACUGUUAAACCUAUUCAGGAAAUGAAGAGAUCUUGCCCAGUAUCUGAACCAAGAAUGCUGAAUACUAUUAAACCUAUUCAGCAGAUAUUUCUGAAGGUUUGUGCCGGUGAAUAGAUUCGGGAUCUGAAUCAACAACACUCCAUAAUUUUGGUGUAUAUUUGUAUGAAUUCAUAAGGUAAUUUUGAAGACUGAACAUAUGUAGCAGCAGUGAUGCAAUGGGAAGUAGAAGACCAAGAAACUGGUUUUAUCUUCAGUCAGCUACACUAUUGUUGUCCUUCAGUCAUGUCUGAUUCCUCAUGACUCCUUGACCAUAGCUUGCUACUAGGCCCUUCUAUCUACACUUUCCCAAAGACUGUCCAAGGUCAUGUUUGUUGCUUUCGUGAUACUCUCCAUCUCAUCCUCUGCUGUCCCCUUCUCCUUUUGCCUUUAAUCUUUCCUAGCAUCAGGGUCUUUUUAAUGUUAAACCUCAAGCUAGCUUUUACACUCUCCUCUUUCACCCUCAUCCAGAGGCUUCUUAAUUCUUAACUUUCUGCCAUCUAUGGUAUUGUCUGCAUAUCUGAGAUUGUUGAUGUCCCUGAAAUCUUGAUUCUGGGUUUUUUUAUUUGUCCAGUCUGGCAUUUCAUUUGAUGUAUUCUGCAUAUAAGUUAAAUAAAGUGACAGCAUACA
Phascolarctos cinereus (koala) is the source of this 1022-nucleotide non-coding RNA. The record is from RefSeq and is a predicted model, not a curated record. Lineage: Eukaryota; Metazoa; Chordata; Mammalia; Diprotodontia; Phascolarctidae.